CGGGGCGUGAAGAGGAUAUCCGAUAACAAGGCGGCGUCGCACGCUCCGGGAACGAAGCGACGGACCGAGCGCGACGAGGGUUCGGGGCGGAGAUGAUGACCGAGGGUCAGGACGUGCAUGCGGAAUGAGGUGAUUCCUAAAGAUCCAUUCUGCGUGGGAUUUGGGAAGACUGGAGUUCUCCACGGAGGUUCACCAGCCUGGACUCGUUAAGAGAUGAAAAGGUUUGUCGUGCGGAACCCGUUCCUGGAAAUGCCUCACCUGUGGACAAACACCAACGUGAGUCAUUGUGCUGCUGUGAACUCCAAUUGUAACCUACACAAUAAAGUUCCCGUGGAACCGCCAAUGGAGUGUCGUGUCUUCAGCCUUCCUGCCAGGUUUUUUGUUAAUGGUGACUCACAUGUAUUUUGAGCAUUUGCUCUUCCAGGUUUCUUCAAGUCUGUGGUGUCCAAAGUCUUGAGUUCCCCAGUCUGAACUUUAGCUUUGAAGCCUUAUUGUGCCAUCCAAGCUUGUCAAGGUUAACUUUCACAUCAGGACAAUGGGGGGGUCAAUCUUUUUUUGCAAUGUUAACAUUGUAUCAUACAUGUGUAAACUUGAUUCCAGUUUUAAUCUCCAAGACUUGGUGUAUCGCCUGGCCUAAAUGUUUUUUGUAAUGCUAACAUUGCACCAUGUCUAAAGUUAUUUCCCAAGUUUUAAUCUCCAAGACUUGGUGUAUCGCCUGGCCUAAAUGUUUUUUGUAAUGUUAACAUUGCCCCAUGUCUAAAUUUAUUUCCCAAGUUUUAAUCUAGAAGACUCGGUGUAGCGCCUGGCCUAAAUGUUUUUUGUAAUGUUAACAUUGCACCAUGUCUAAACUUAUUUCCCAAGUUUUAAUCUAGAAGACUUGGUGUAUCACCUGGCCUAAAUGUUCUUUGUAAUGUUAACAUUGCAGCAUGUCUAAAUUUAUUUCCCCAGUUUUAAUCUCCAAGACUUGGUGUAGUGCCUGGCCUAAAUGUUUUUUGUAAUGUUAACAUUGCCCAAUGUCUAAAUGUAUUUCCCUAGUUUUAAUCUCCAAGACUUGGUGUAUCGCCUGGCCUAAAUGUAUUUCCCAAAAGGAAAUGUGUUGGGUUUUCCCACAGAGGUCAUGGCCUUUAGAAAUGUUUGAAUAUAGUGCAGGGCCUGAUCAAUGUGGUCUCCAGCAUUGACAAGACUGAUCUUGGCUUGUAUAAUAAACUAAUAA
Long non-coding RNA from Phycodurus eques (leafy seadragon), 1213 nucleotides. RefSeq lists it as uncharacterized. The transcript is spliced from 3 exons. NCBI's taxonomy places the organism in Eukaryota, Metazoa, Chordata, Actinopteri, Syngnathiformes, Syngnathidae. The record is from RefSeq and is a predicted model, not a curated record.